This is a long non-coding RNA of Talpa occidentalis (Iberian mole), 519 nucleotides long. RefSeq lists it as uncharacterized. The record is from RefSeq and is a predicted model, not a curated record. The transcript has 3 exons. Lineage: Eukaryota; Metazoa; Chordata; Mammalia; Eulipotyphla; Talpidae.
GUGAACAAUGGGGGUUCUGUUGCGACUCAGGCUGCAGGUUCCUUUCACCCUCCAAGCCUACUCUGUUCACUCACAGUAUCAGCUGAGAACCGAGUCUCACCUGAGCAGCCUGAAGCACAGUCAGAGCCCUGAAGCUCAGAAGCAUUGGCUCAGGGGUGUGGGGACUGAUAUUGCUCCAGCGCCUCUUUUUCCAGGUUAUGCUGGAAACUGACUCUAUUAUCCAAGAAUAUGUAUAAGAAUAAGAAAGAAGUGCUAAUACGCACACUGACUGUCAAUAAAGAUUUUGAUAAGUGACAAUAGAUAAAGAACUGCACAUUAAAGGGAGGAAGACCUGGAAGUAUGUCUGGAGUGAGAACACUGGAAGAAUAAGUUAACAAUUCAAAAGUAUUUGAGCCAUCGAAUAAUGCAUGGUAUAAAUAUCAGGAAACACCAAACAAGUUACAUUUAUUAUUAACGUUGUAAAUCUAGUAGAAUUCUUUUUCAGGUAACUUAGCUGUAUAUGUGAUAUACAUUUUUCAA